RNAcentral lists this ribosomal RNA (465 nucleotides) under uncultured bacterium. Its description in RNAcentral is "partial 16S ribosomal RNA". It matches the Rfam family "Bacterial small subunit ribosomal RNA", at positions 338 to 795 of the family's 1533-position model. The record is from RNAcentral.
CCUACGGGAGGCAGCAGUGGGGAAUAUUGCGCAAUGGGCGAAAGCCUGACGCAGCGACGCCGCGUGAGGGAUGAAGGUCUUCGGAUCGUAAACCUCUGUCAGCAGGGAAGCACGGUCACUGUGCUAAUCAGCAGUGAAUUGACGGUACCUGCAAAGGAAGCACCGGCUAACUCCGUGCCAGCAGCCGCGGUAAUACGGAGGGUGCGAGCGUUAAUCGGAAUUACUGGGCGUAAAGCGCUCGUAGGCGGUAUGUCAAGUCAAGGGUGAAAUCCCCGCGCUCAACGUGGGAACUGCCUUUGAAACUGGCAAACUGGAGUGUGUGAGAGGAUAGUGGAAUGCCAGGUGUAGGAGUGAAAUGCGUAGAUAUCUGGAGGAACAUCAGUGGCGAAGGCGACUAUCUGGCACAUAACUGACGCUGAGGAGCGAAAGCGUGGGUAGCAAACAGGAUUAGAUACCCGGGUAGUC